Molecule: long non-coding RNA, 257 nt
Organism: Vidua chalybeata
Lineage: Eukaryota; Metazoa; Chordata; Aves; Passeriformes; Viduidae
Exons: 4
Source: RefSeq, a predicted model, not a curated record
CCUCUGCACACCUCCCAGCAUGAUGCCUUUUGCAGAGGAACAGUCUGAAGAUGUAGCUGUGACCCAGGAUUGUGCUCCAGUGUCUCUCACAGGGCUCUGAAAUCUGAUGAGAAACAAGAAGUGCAUUCAGUGAAGCCCUAUGAAAUUGCAAAUGAAGAAGACUGGUGUGUACUGGUGAGGAGGACUGGGAGAAUCAUAUGAACAAUGUGAGUCACAGAUGAGGUUGACUGAAAUAUGAUAAAAAACAUACAAAACCA